Molecule: long non-coding RNA, 294 nt
Organism: Micropterus salmoides (largemouth bass)
Lineage: Eukaryota; Metazoa; Chordata; Actinopteri; Centrarchiformes; Centrarchidae
Exons: 3
Source: RefSeq, a predicted model, not a curated record
CCACAAAGUGAUAAAAAGCUGCCAGGAGCUCCAGCACCUUCUGAGCAUGAAACCAUUCCUCUCAGUGUUUCAUGCCAAAGCCCAUGAUUUUAAAUGCGAGGUUAAAUGGAGUGGAGCUUACCAGCAAGGGGCCGGAUUGACACUUGGGGAGGAGGUUGAGCAGUGUAACGCCUUCCUCUCUAGGAUUGCUGUGACCACAAAGCACAUGUCCAAAGCAGGAUGUACAGACAUGCUUACACUGAUGGCCAUGCGCUGGAAUCAGCAAAAGUUUAAUAACUUGGCUGCUUCACUUGC